RNAcentral lists this ribosomal RNA (481 nucleotides) under uncultured bacterium. RNAcentral's name for it is "partial 16S ribosomal RNA". It matches the Rfam family "Bacterial small subunit ribosomal RNA", at positions 28 to 523 of the family's 1533-position model. The record is from RNAcentral.
GACGAACGCUGGCGGCGUGCUUAACACAUGCAAGUCGAACGCUGAAGCCCUUUCGGGGGUGGAUGAGUGGCGAACGGGUGAGUAACACGUGGGUAAUCUGCCCUGCACUCUGGGGUAAGCCUUGGAAACGGGGUCUAAUACCGGAUAGGACACAUCGCCGCAUGGUGUGUGUGUGGAAAGUUCCGGCGGUGCAGGUUGAGCCCGCGGCCGAUCAGCUUGUUGGUGGGGUGAUGGCCUACCAAGGCGACGACGGGUAGCCGGCCUGAGAGGGUGACCGGCCACACUGGGACUGAGACACGGCCCAGACUCCUACGGGAGGCAGCAGUGGGGAAUCUUGCGCAAUGGGCGAAAGCCUGACGCAGCAACGCCGCGUGGGGGAUGACGGCCUUCGGGUUGUAAACCUCUUUCGACCGGGACGAAGGGUGACUGACGGUACCGGUAGAAGGAGCACCGGCUAACUACGUGCCAGCAGCCGCCGUAA